Molecule: ribosomal RNA, 480 nt
Filed under: uncultured bacterium
Lineage: Bacteria
Description: partial 16S ribosomal RNA
Rfam family: Bacterial small subunit ribosomal RNA
Source: RNAcentral
GACGAACGCUGGCGGUGUGCUUAACACAUGCAAGUCGAACGGUAAGGCCCUUCGGGGUACACGAGUGGCGAACUGGUGAGUAACACGUGGGUGAUCUGCCCUGCACUUCGGGAUAAGCCUGGGAAACUGGGUCUAAUACCGGAUAGGACUCCGGACUGCAUGGUCUGGGGUGGAAAGCUUUUGCGGUGUGGGAUGGGCCCGCGGCCUAUCAGCUUGUUGGUGGGGUGAUGGCCUACCAAGGCGACGACGGGUAGCCGGCCUGAGAGGGUGACCGGCCACACUGGGACUGAGAUACGGCCCAGACGCCUACGGGAGGCAGCAGUGGGGAAUAUUGCGCAAUGGGCGAAAGCCUGACGCAGCAACGCCGCGUGCGGGAUGACGGCCUUCGGGUUGUAAACCGCUUUCAGCAGGGAAGAAGCCGCAAGGUGACGGUACCUGCAGAAGAAGCACCGGCUAACUACGUGUCAGCCGCCGCAGUAA